RNAcentral lists this ribosomal RNA (595 nucleotides) under Choricystis parasitica. RNAcentral's name for it is "LSU rRNA". It matches the Rfam family "Bacterial large subunit ribosomal RNA", at positions 1051 to 1633 of the family's 2925-position model. Lineage: Eukaryota; Viridiplantae; Chlorophyta; Trebouxiophyceae. The record is from RNAcentral.
AAAUGAUAGCUAAGKGGCAAAGGAGGUGAAGAUGCAGAAACAACCAGGAGGUUUGCUUAGAAGCAGCCAUCCUUUAAAGAGUGCGUAAUAGCUCACUGGUGGGCGUCUUCGCGCCGAAAAUGUACGGGACUAAGUUAUCUGCCGACGCUGUGGGAUACUGAUAUUUAUCAGUAUCGGUAGGGGAGCGUUCUGGAAUGGGUGAAGCGAGCUCGUAAGGUCUCGUGGACGUUCCAGAAGUGAGAAUGUCAGUUUGAGUAGCGAAAACAUUGGUGAGAAUCCAAUGCCCCGAAAACCUAAGGGUUCCUUCACUAGGCUCGUCCAUGGAGGGUUAGCCAGGUCCUAAGGCGAGGCCGAAAGGCGUAGUCGAUGGCAAACAGGUUAAUAUUCCUGUGCUUGAUUGAUCGCAGUACCGAGGGACGAAGGUGGUUCACAUUAGCCAAGAUCGGUAUUUGGUGUAAACUUGCGAGGCGUUGAUAGCAAGAAGAAAAACUUGUCUUGAGCGAAGCGGUGAUACAAUAUUAGUUUUGGUANNNSGUUUGUUCGCAGAUUUAUCAGCCUGAUAUUUAAWGUAAWGAAUCKUAWCUUCNGNCUAGGG